GCGAGCUGGGUUCAAACCGUCGUGAGACAGGUUGGUCUCUAUCUGCUGCAGGCGUAGACACUUGAGGAGAGUUGACCCGAGUACGAGAGGACCGGGUUGAACGCACCGCUGGUGUACCAGCUUUCCUACCAAGGGAAGCGCUGGGUAGCUAUUGUGCGGAAGGGAUAAGUGCUGAAAGCAUCUAAGCACGAAGCCUACUCCAAGAUUAGGUGUCACCAGUGCAUUGCACUGGAAUGGUUCGUGGAAGACUACCACGUUGAUAGGCUCUAGGUGUAAGCGCAGUAAUGUGUUUAGCCGAGGAGUACUAAUAAACCAUAGCGUUCUCCAU
Molecule: ribosomal RNA, 328 nt
Filed under: bacterium
Lineage: Bacteria
Description: partial 23S ribosomal RNA
Rfam family: Bacterial large subunit ribosomal RNA
Source: RNAcentral